This 318-nucleotide ribosomal RNA is filed under the name Triticum aestivum (bread wheat). Its description in RNAcentral is "partial small subunit ribosomal RNA". The record is from RNAcentral. Lineage: Eukaryota; Viridiplantae; Streptophyta; Magnoliopsida; Poales; Poaceae.
AUGCAGGCAGGAGUCGGUCUACUUGUCUCGGACGUGAUGCCUAUAUACAUGAUCAUACCUAGAUAUUCUCAUAACUAUGCUCAAUUAUGUCAAUUGCUCAACAGUAAUUCGUUCACCCACCAUAAAAUACUUAUGCUCUUGAGAGAAGCCACUAGUGAAACCUAUGGCCCCCGGGUCUAUCUUCAUCAUAUUAAUCUUCCAAUACUUAGUUAUUUCCUUUGUUUUUUUACUUUGCUUUUAUUUUACUUUGCAUAUUUAUCACAAAAAUACCAAAAAUAUUAUUCUAUCAUAUCUAUCAGAUCUCACUCUCGUAAGUGA